This 460-nucleotide ribosomal RNA is filed under the name uncultured bacterium. RNAcentral describes it as "partial 16S ribosomal RNA". It matches the Rfam family "Bacterial small subunit ribosomal RNA", at positions 338 to 795 of the family's 1533-position model. The record is from RNAcentral.
CCUACGGGUGGCAGCAGUGAGGAAUCUUCGACAAUGGGCGAGAGCCUGAUCCAGCCAAGUCGCGUGAAGGAUGAAGGACCUCUGGUCUGUAAACUCCUUUUAUAUGGGAAUAAAGUGGGGAACGUGUCUCUUUUCGUAUGUACCAUAUCAAUACGCAUCGGCUAACUCCGCGCCAGCAGCCGCGGUAAGACGGAGGAUGCGUGCGUUAUCCGGAUCUAUUGGGUUUAAAGGGUGCGUAGGUGGUUAAUUAAGUCAGCGGUGAAAGUUUGUGGCUCAACCGUAAAAGUGCCGUUGAAACUGGUAGACUUGAGUGUAGUAGAGGAGGGCGGAAUGCGUGGUGUAGCGGUGAAAUGCGUAGAUAUAACGAAGAACACCAGUGGCGAAAGCAGCUUACUGAUCUAUAACUGACGCUGAGGCACGAAAGCGUGGGUAGCAAACAGGAUUAGAUACCCGAGUAGUC